UGGGGGAUAUUGCACAAUGGGCGAAAGCCUGAUGCAGCGACGCCGCGUGGGGGAUGAAGGCCUUCGGGUUGUAAACUUCUUUUGCUCUGAACAAGGCGCACCAUGGGGUGUGUUGAGUGUAGGGGUUGAUUAGCGCCGGCUAACUACGUGCCAGCAGCCGCGGUAAUACGUAGGGCGCGAGCGUUGUCCGGUAUUAUUGGGCGUAAAGGGCUUGUAGGUGGCUGGUUGCGUCUGUCGUGAAAGCUCAUGGCUUAACUGUGGGUUUGAGGUGGGGACGGGCUGGCUUGAGGGCAGUAGGGGAGGCUGGAAUUCCUGGUGUAGCGGUGGAAUGCGCAGAUAGCAGGAGGAAUACCGGUGGCGAAGGCGGGUCUCUGGGCUGUUACUGACACUGAGGAGCGAAAGCAUGGGGAGCGAACAGG
This 419-nucleotide ribosomal RNA is filed under the name bacterium. RNAcentral's name for it is "partial 16S ribosomal RNA". It matches the Rfam family "Bacterial small subunit ribosomal RNA", at positions 355 to 776 of the family's 1533-position model. The record is from RNAcentral.